Molecule: long non-coding RNA, 1240 nt
Organism: Ictalurus punctatus (channel catfish)
Lineage: Eukaryota; Metazoa; Chordata; Actinopteri; Siluriformes; Ictaluridae
Source: Ensembl
UGAAAAGUCUCACUGGCAAAACACAAGAUCCCAAGAGUGCUGCUUGUAUAAAGUGCAUCAUUUUAUAUUUUACUGUAUAAAAUAUACAGUGAUCAACUAAAAGAGAAUAUAAAUCAACUUCAGGGUGAUAACAGUGACUCCACAGUCGGUUUUAUGCAUUACACAUUCAUGUUCACACUGUAAACAUUCUGUGCAGUGGUGUAUUUAUAGACGCUUCAUUUGUUCAUUGUUUCCCAGAAACGCAGCCUGAGCCCUAAAAGUGAAAGUAAAAGUACCAGAUAAAAAACAAGCUGUGGUUUUCAUUUUGUCCACCAACGAAUUCAGUCCAGAGCGUGUAACUCGGCUGAGAUCCCCCUUCAAAAUGACCCAAGCGAUAAUCAGAUUUUUUGUCAUGGUCCUUGGGAACACCAUGAAUUCCCACAAGACCUUCAUGGAGCGUCUGACAAUUUCACAAAAACUUCGUGAAGUGAAGUCGGUGAACAACAGUGAUGUCAUCAUUGCUUUUGUCCCAGUUGUGUCUCGAGCUGGAACUGACAUUGGAGCUGCAAUGGCCAAAAUUCCUCAGGAUAAGCCUGUCGUUUUUGUGGCGCUCCACCACACGUUUAAUCUAGAUGAAAUUGUUCCAGACAGCAGACUCUGUGUAAACACAGACAGAGUGUUUGCUGUAGAUUGUCUCUAUCAUGAAGACCAAGGUCUGCUGAAUUGCCGGCACAAUGACGAUGCGAUCAGAGCCGUGAAGAAGCACCUGAGAUGCGACGACCACACUGAGGACGACUCCAGCUGGGCAAGCCGUUUUUGGCUCAAACUACGUAAAUCCGAUGCAGAAACUGGGGGGGCGAUCCACCCUCAAUUUCCAAGCCAUGGUGCGUCACACGCCCCUGCUGACUUCCGAAGUUACAACAACGUAAAUAUGAUGCAGAAACUGGGGGGGCGAUCCACCCUCAAUUUCCAAGGCAUGGUGCGUCACAGAUGUAUCAGGAUAUUGCUUGUUCUGGGCAUUUUCCUGGCGAUUGGUGUGGGUAUUGGUGUGGGUUUUGGUGUGGGAAUCGGUGCGGGUUUUGGAGUGGGUAUUGUUGUGUUUUGUGUUGUAGUCAUGCUUGUGAUUGUUACCUGGGUUAAAAGCUUUCAAAACCGUUUACCAUGAAUGCAGACUUCAAUACACUGGAACAGACAUAGUAUUAGCAUCACAUAAAUAAAUAAAUAAAUAAAUAAAUAAAUAAAUAAAUAAAUAAACAUUUAA